AGCAGCCGCGGUAAUUCCAGCUCCAAUAGCGUAUAUUAAAGUUGUUGCAGUUAAAAAGCUCGUAGUUGAAUUUCGGGGUUAGUAGAUUGGUCGUGCCAUCGGUAUGCACUGGUCUUACUGAUUCCUCCUUCCUGAUGAACCGUAAUGCCAUUAAUUUGGUGUUGCGGGGAAACUGGACUGUUACUUUGAAAAAAUUAGAGUGUUUAAAGCAAGCUAACGCUUGAAUACAUUAGCAUGGAAUAAUGAAAUAGGACGUUCGAUCCUAUUUUGUUGGUUUCUAGGAUUGACGUAAUGAUUAAUAGGGAUAGUUGGGGGCAUUAGUAUUCAAUUGUCAGAGGUGAAAUUCUUGGAUUUAUUGAAGACUAACUACUGCGAAAGCAUUUGCCAAGGAUGUUUUCAUUAAUCAAGAACGAAAGUUAGGGGAUCGAAGACGAUCAGAUACCGUCGUAGUCUUAACCAUAAACUAUGCCGACUAGGGAUCGGAUGAUGUUAAUUUUAUAAUGACUCAUUCGGCGCCUUA
RNAcentral lists this ribosomal RNA (520 nucleotides) under uncultured Glomus. RNAcentral describes it as "SSU rRNA". It matches the Rfam family "Eukaryotic small subunit ribosomal RNA", at positions 569 to 1090 of the family's 1831-position model. The record is from RNAcentral. Lineage: Eukaryota; Fungi; Glomeromycota; Glomeromycetes; Glomerales; Glomeraceae.